UGGGGAAUAUUGCACAAUGGGCGCAAGCCUGAUGCAGCAACGCCGCGUGAGGGACGACGGCCUUCGGGUUGUAAACCUCUUUUAGCAGGGAAGAAGCGAAAGUGACGGUACCUGCAGAAAAAGCGCCGGCUAACUACGUGCCAGCAGCCGCGGUAAUACGUAGGGCGCAAGCGUUAUCCGGAAUUAUUGGGCGUAAAGAGCUCGUAGGCGGUUUGUCGCGUCUGCUGUGAAAUCCGGAGGCUCAACCUCCGGCCUGCAGUGGGUACGGGCAGACUAGAGUGCGGUAGGGGAGAUUGGAAUUCCUGGUGUAGCGGUGGAAUGCGCAGAUAUCAGGAGGAACACCGAUGGCGAAGGCAGAUCUCUGGGCCGUAACUGACGCUGAGGAGCGAAAGGGUGGGGAGCAAACAGGCUUAGAUACCCUGGUAGUCCACCCCGUAAACGUUGGGAACUAGUUGUGGGGUCCAUUCCACGGAUUCCGUGACGCAGCUAACGCAUUAAGUUUCCCCGCCUGGGAG
This 515-nucleotide ribosomal RNA is filed under the name Microbacterium sp. C3. RNAcentral's name for it is "bacterial SSU rRNA". It matches the Rfam family "Bacterial small subunit ribosomal RNA", at positions 355 to 879 of the family's 1533-position model. The record is from RNAcentral. Lineage: Bacteria; Bacillati; Actinomycetota; Actinomycetes; Micrococcales; Microbacteriaceae.